UACAGAGGUCUCAAGCGUUGUUCGGAUUCAUUGGGCGUAAAGGGUGCGUAGGUGGCGAGGUAAGUCUGGUGUGAAAUCUCGGGGCUCAACCCCGAAACUGCACUGGAUACUGCCUUGCUUGAGUACUGGAGAGGAGAUUGGAAUUUACGGUGUAGCAGUGAAAUGCGUAGAUAUCGUAAGGAAGACCAGUGGCGAAGGCGAAUCUCUGGACAGUUACUGACACUGAGGCACGAAGGCCAGGGGAGCAAACGGG
This 253-nucleotide ribosomal RNA is filed under the name uncultured bacterium. RNAcentral's name for it is "partial 16S ribosomal RNA". It matches the Rfam family "Bacterial small subunit ribosomal RNA", at positions 524 to 776 of the family's 1533-position model. The record is from RNAcentral.